Long non-coding RNA from Felis catus (domestic cat), 4472 nucleotides. RefSeq lists it as uncharacterized. The record is from RefSeq and is a predicted model, not a curated record. NCBI's taxonomy places the organism in Eukaryota, Metazoa, Chordata, Mammalia, Carnivora, Felidae. The transcript has 2 exons.
CUCAGUGAAUGACAGUGCAGCUAUUUCAGAGCUUAAAAAAUUUUUUUGGUAAACUUUGGCUAAAUUUGGAAAGCAUAUUGAGUUUGAAUGUAAGAAAAAAAAUGAUAUGAAGAACUACAGAGGAAGAUAUUCCAGUAAUAUAUGCCUGAGACUUGUGGAAACAUUAAGUAGUGAAAAAAAAGACUGUAAGGCUUCUCUUUUGCCUCAUGUUUAGAAAUGCAAUAUCCUAGUAAUUGAAGGUUGUGAUUAACUGAACAUUUGGUAUGUACAGGGAAACAAAUGAAUUCUAAGUAAUUAAUCUAGUUUUUCUACAUUCCACUUUGACUUAGGAAACAAGCCUUAAAAAUAGUCCUCCAGGAGAUUUUACAGCUGUCAGGAUAUUCAGCUUUUCUAUUCAUAUGCUCUCUUGCUUCUCAUACAUCUAAAGCAUACAUCCAGAGUGUACAAAGUAUGAGACCAUAUUAAUUGAACAGACAAUUUAGCACAGUCAUUAAGACAAUGAGCUCUGGCACCAAAAUGCUUAGGUUUUUACUCCUACCUGGCUUUACCUCUUAAUAGCUGUAUGACCUUGAGCAGGUACUUAACCUCUCUUCUAUAAAAAUGAUGAAAAUAAUACUUAUUGGGGUGUUAUGAGAAUGUAGUGAGUUAGUACAUGAGAAGUUCCUGGAAGGCAUCUGGCACAUUUAAUGCAUACACACACACACACACACACACACACACACAUAUGUUUUAACUGUCAUUGAUUUGGUCAGCAUUGCCCCCUAGCACAGGCCCAUAUUUAAUCACCAAAGCAAGAUUGUUUCUAAUGAGCACACACCAUGUUUUCUCACAGGAAAUAGUUCCACAUGUGGAAGAGUCUAAACAAUGAGAGUUCAACUCUGAGAAAUCUUGGCUAACCCUUAAUUUACCAGAAUAUUAUUCAUAGAACAGUAUUUCUCAAGAUUAAUCAAUGAGGUAAUUUGACAGUGAUCAGCUUUCAAAGAUUUAAAGUAACUUUACCACUCCCAUACUGUUUAUAAACAUUAUUUUCUCUUUUACUUGGGAAGCAGUUCAGUAUCUUACAAUGUUUUGGCAUCAUAAGUGCAGUUUAGCAUUUUGCAAUGCAAUAAAUAUAUAAAGUUAUACAAAGUUAGACUGCAUGAGUAUUUAUCCUAAGGAGAAAGUAUGAAUUAAAGGCUUCAGUUUUUUGGUGUCUGAGUAGAAUACAGGAGGUCUUACGUUGUCCCAUGUUGUCUCUUAAGGUUGGGAUAGGAAGUGCUCGCUCUCACACUAAGUGACCCUCGGUCUGACUAGCUGGACUACUUGGUUAGGAUCAAAAAAAGUCCACAUUGUUAAGAGAAAUAACACACUCUUGAAAAAGACUGAGGGAAAAACCAUCCUUCCAGUGUAGGCUACUAACCUACGAAAGAAUAGAGCAGCUCCUUACAGCUAGGAAAUGAGAAAGUCAAGAAGGGAGAAAAAACUUAAGAAGAAAGGCAGAGGUGAUGAGUGGCAGAGAGAAAAUGAAAGCAAAAGACAAAACGAGAAGAGAACUAACAAAAACAUUUGUAUUGCUCUGUCAUGUCUUGCACAUUGUCCUUGUUCAUCUUCAGACCUGUCAGAUUGGCAAUCUGGGUCUUACAGCCAAGUUACCUAAAGAAAGAAUUGGAUUUUAUUAAUUUGGCAAGUAAUGAACACAAAUAUUCUGUGCCAAGUGUCGGAGCUACAAUUAAACAACUGUCCCUGACCUCAUAGAGUUUCCAUUUUACUUCAAAGAAGUUCAGGGAUUUGUAAAUGACUGGUAAAUAAAAAGCAAGAUCUAGACCUUGGUUCUAAACCCCUGUUCUUUUCCCUCUGUGCUAUUCAGACAGGUUGCAGCCAUAUUUCAAAUAGUUCUGCAAGAGAAUUGAAUCCCAAUAAUCUGUGUUUGAGGAUUCAGAAUAAAUUAUUGCUUCCCUUUAAAGUUUUUUUUUUAUCUAAUUAAACACUAUUAAACAUUGUAUUUUCUCAUGUUAGAAUCUUCAAGUUUCAUAGCAUCCAAUUUCUGCCUCCCUCUUGUCUGAGACAACAUGAAGUAAAGGUAAAUUGAAUUAAAAGCUUUCCACUUUCCUGUUGGAAAGGCAAUCCUCAUUCUAAGACUCUGAGGAAACAGUGCACUAGGUUUAAAUUUCAACAAAGCAUUUUUCAGAAUCUUAUGGUGUUCUUUUGAAUAUGGAAAUUUGAGCUGAAUGAUGGUACUGUUAAUUGAUGUCAUGUAUUUGUCAAGUAUUAAGUGCAAAUCAGGUGCUGGGAACCGGUAACACAUGUUAAAAAAGCAAGGACUCUGACCUCAAGAUGUUUAAACGUAAAACAAUGCAGUAAGAAAACUGCUCUAAAAAGUCCUAUGUGCAAAGGGUGGAGGAAACAUGAAAGUUUCUAGUCUAUUCAAAGGGUCACCAGUAAUGCAUCGGGGCCCUUACUGGGAUUUGAAUGAGAACAUUUGAUUUAAGCAAGCUCAUUGAAUUUAUAUAGACAUGAAGCUGACAAGGAUCCCUAAUGCUUUGAUGAUAAACUGCAUUUAACAAGUAUUUAUUAAGCACCUAUUGCUUGCCAGACACUGUACUUAGAAUUGAGCUAUUCUUUAAUAGAUCGGAUUAAUGGACCAAGUUGAACAAGCUAAAAAUUAAUAAAGUCUUGAAAUGAUAGACUGCUAAAGCUAGAAGAGACAAUUGUGACUUAUAGUUUUUAGUCACCUGGAUGUUCACCAUGAGUCAGUGCAAUGAUUAACUGCCAAAUUCAAUGCUGUUCUGUAGAAAUACAAUGUGAGCCACAGGUAUAUAAAUUUAAGUGUUAUAGCAAACACAUUAAAAGUAAAAACCAGGUGAAAUUAAUUUUAAUGUUUUUUUUUUAACCCAUUGUAUCCAAAAUAUUUCAUGUGUGACCAGUAUGAGAAAUUAAUGAGGGGCUCCUGGGUGGCUCAGUCAGCUAAGCAUCUGGUUUCAGCUCAGGGCAUGAUCUCGCAGUUUGUGAGUUCAAGCCCUUCAUCAGGCUCUGUGCUGACAGCUCAGAACCUGGAGCCUGCUUCACACUCUGUGUCUCCCUCUCUCUCUGCCCUCCCUGGCUCACGCUGUGCCUCUCUCUCUCAAAAGUAAACAUUAAAAAAAUUUUUUUAAAUUUAUGAGAUAUUUUGUAUUCGUGUGGAUUUUGCACUUUAUAAAAUAUACACAGUUUUGAACUAGCUGUAUUUCAGGUGCUUAAUCACCCCAUGUGACUGGUGGCUACCAUGCUGGACAGUAUAGCUCUAUAUUCUCCUGUAUAAAUUCACAGGUUGUUUAAUGUUUACUUCAGUUCUCAGCAGUGUAUAUUAUGAUGCAAAGCAGAUGAUGUGUUCAAAGACAGAUUUCAGAAUGCUAUUAAAAUGUUUGAAACCAUCAUGUGAAAGAGGGAUUAGACUCAGAAUGGUAGAUGUAUUUUGCGUUACUUGUCAAUUCUGAGUUGAGUUGUGGUUUAAUAGCGCUUUAAGACCCGAUGCUGAAUCUGCUCUUUGAGUGCAUUCACCUAAGGAGAGAUCAGCUGUGGCCAGACACUUGCCAUCACUGAAGUAGACUUAAUCCAUAUGGUUCCAGAAGGCAGGAGCACUGAAUAGAAUUUACAUGGGAACAGAGUUAGGUUUAACGUUAAAGAGAACUCUUCUAAUCAGAACUACCCCUGAGUUGAAUAAGCUCCCCCCAAGAAGUAGCUAAUUUCCUGUCACCGAAUGUGCAGAGAAGGGUUGUGCAGACUCUCUUCAGAUGUUCUAUAAAUUCAAGUGUGAGAUGAAAGAAGUGGACUAGGUAAACUUUUACAGUCUCAUCUGACUAAAAUUCUGUGUUUGGCCUUAAAUGGGUGUGGUGGGAAGGCCUACCAAUUUCAAACCCUUAGAAUAGCCCUUUCAAUCAACCUGGCUUUGUCCCAACCUCAAAUACGCCAGAGCCUUAUAUAAUGAUUUGUACUGUAGCAAGUUUUCCAAAGUGUCUUAAUUUCCUUCCUAUACAAUACUGCCUACACCCCAAACUAAACCUAAAAUAACAUUCGUCUCUGCCUAUACCACACACACACCCUAGCCUUUUAGUUGGCUCCAUGGCAGACAUUGCUGCCAGGAAAAAAGGUUUCACUGGUAAUACAUAAAGCUCAGGGUAUUCAGUCCCUGGGUUUCUUUAUCUCCACCGGCCACCCAAUAACUCCAUAUAUACUAUGGGUAACAAAUUAUAGAACCCAAUUGUCAACACUGUUGUUACAGUCGCAAAGUAAAGUGUGUUUUGAUGGUGAAACUUCAUUUUUAGAAGAUGGAUUUGUCCAGUGUGGAAAAAUAGAUGUAACCCAAACUAUGAAGUCAGCUAUGAUUAGGCUCUUAACCUUAUUUUAAAAUUGCUUAGUGGUUGCUGCCUUGGCAUAUCUGGCUGUUAGCUAUACAGUUAUUAUACACACAGAUUAUGAAGUAAUAAAAGUUGACAGUGUUUUUCUUUCCUUGAUAA